GAUGAACGCUGGCGGCGUGCCUAAUACAUGCAAGUCGAGCGAACAGAUAAGGAGCUUGCUCCUUUGACGUUAGCGGCGGACGGGUGAGUAACACGUGGGUAACCUACCUAUAAGACUGAGAUAACUUCGGGAAACCGGAGCUAAUACCGGAUAACAUUUGGAACCGCAUGGUUCUAAAGUGAAAGAUGGUUUUGCUAUCACUUAUAGAUGGACCCGCGCCGUAUUAGCUAGUUGGUAAGGUAACGGCUUACCAAGGCGACGAUACGUAGCCGACCUGAGAGGGUGAUCGGCCACACUGGAACUGAGACACGGUCCAGACUCCUACGGGAGGCAGCAGUAGGGAAUCUUCCGCAAUGGGCGAAAGCCUGACGGAGCAACGCCGCGUGAGUGAUGAAGGGUUUCGGCUCGUAAAACUCUGUUAUUAGGGAAGAACAAAUGUGUAAGUAACUGUGCACGUCUUGACGGUACCUAAUCAGAAAGCCACGGCUAACUACGUG
Molecule: ribosomal RNA, 497 nt
Filed under: uncultured bacterium
Lineage: Bacteria
Description: partial 16S ribosomal RNA
Rfam family: Bacterial small subunit ribosomal RNA
Source: RNAcentral